AUGAGAACUUGCCCUUCGGGGUAGAUCUCCCACCCUCUGUUUACAUACUUUGUUGCUUUGGCAGGCCCGUCUUCGGACCGCCGGCUUCGGCUGGCCCGUGCCUGCCAGAGGAUUCACAACUCGGAUAAUUAUGUCGUCUGAGUAACGUUACUAUUAUAAAUAGUUA
RNAcentral lists this unclassified non-coding RNA (166 nucleotides) under uncultured Pseudeurotiaceae. Its description in RNAcentral is "sequence contains ITS1". The record is from RNAcentral. Lineage: Eukaryota; Fungi; Ascomycota; Leotiomycetes; Thelebolales; Pseudeurotiaceae.